GUUAAGCGACUAAGCGUACACGGUGGAUGCCCUGGCAGUCAGAGGCGAUGAAGGACGUGCUAAUCUGCGAUAAGCGUCGGUAAGGUGAUAUGAACCGUUAUAACCGGCGAUUUCCGAAUGGGGAAACCCAGUGUGUUUCGACACACUAUCAUUAACUGAAUCCAUAGGUUAAUGAGGCGAACCGGGGGAACUGAAACAUCUAAGUACCCCGAGGAAAAGAAAUCAACCGAGAUUCCCCCAGUAGCGGCGAGCGAACGGGGAGCAGCCCAGAGCCUGAAUCAGUGUGUGUGUUAGUGGAAGCGUCUGGAAAGGCGCGCGAUACAGGGUGACAGCCCCGUACACAAAAAUGCACAUGCUGUGAGCUCGAUGAGUAGGGCGGGACACGUGGUAUCCUGUCUGAAUAUGGGGGGACCAUCCUCCAAGGCUAAAUACUCCUGACUGACCGAUAGUGAACCAGUACCGUGAGGGAAAGGCGAAAAGAACCCCGGCGAGGGGAGUGAAAAAGAACCUGAAACCGUGUACGUACAAGCAGUGGGAGCACGCUUAGGCGUGUGACUGCGUACCUUUUGUAUAAUGGGUCAGCGACUUAUAUUCUGUAGCAAGGUUAACCGAAUAGGGGAGCCGAAGGGAAACCGAGUCUUAACUGGGCGUUAAGUUGCAGGGUAUAGACCCGAAACCCGGUGAUCUAGCCAUGGGCAGGUUGAAGGUUGGGUAACACUAACUGGAGGACCGAACCGACUAAUGUUGAAAAAUUAGCGGAUGACUUGUGGCUGGGGGUGAAAGGCCAAUCAAACCGGGAGAUAGCUGGUUCUCCCCGAAAGCUAUUUAGGUAGCGCCUCGUGAAUUCAUCUCCGGGGGUAGAGCACUGUUUCGGCAAGGGGGUCAUCCCGACUUACCAACCCGAUGCAAACUGCGAAUACCGGAGAAUGUUAUCACGGGAGACACACGGCGGGUGCUAACGUCCGUCGUGAAGAGGGAAACAACCCAGACCGCCAGCUAAGGUCCCAAAGUCAUGGUUAAGUGGGAAACGAUGUGGGAAGGCCCAGACAGCCAGGAUGUUGGCUUAGAAGCAGCCAUCAUUUAAAGAAAGCGUAAUAGCUCACUGGUCGAGUCGGCCUGCGCGGAAGAUGUAACGGGGCUAAACCAUGCACCGAAGCUGCGGCAGCGACGCUUAUGCGUUGUUGGGUAGGGGAGCGUUCUGUAAGCCUGCGAAGGUGUGCUGUGAGGCAUGCUGGAGGUAUCAGAAGUGCGAAUGCUGACAUAAGUAACGAUAAAGCGGGUGAAAAGCCCGCUCGCCGGAAGACCAAGGGUUCCUGUCCAACGUUAAUCGGGGCAGGGUGAGUCGACCCCUAAGGCGAGGCCGAAAGGCGUAGUCGAUGGGAAACAGGUUAAUAUUCCUGUACUUGGUGUUACUGCGAAGGGGGGACGGAGAAGGCUAUGUUGGCCGGGCGACGGUUGUCCCGGUUUAAGCGUGUAGGCUGGUUUUCCAGGCAAAUCCGGAAAAUCAAGGCUGAGGCGUGAUGACGAGGCACUACGGUGCUGAAGCAACAAAUGCCCUGCUUCCAGGAAAAGCCUCUAAGCAUCAGGUAACAUCAAAUCGUACCCCAAACCGACACAGGUGGUCAGGUAGAGAAUACCAAGGCGCUUGAGAGAACUCGGGUGAAGGAACUAGGCAAAAUGGUGCCGUAACUUCGGGAGAAGGCACGCUGAUAUGUAGGUGAAGUCCCUCGCGGAUGGAGCUGAAAUCAGUCGAAGAUACCAGCUGGCUGCAACUGUUUAUUAAAAACACAGCACUGUGCAAACACGAAAGUGGACGUAUACGGUGUGACGCCUGCCCGGUGCCGGAAGGUUAAUUGAUGGGGUCAGCGCAAGCGAAGCUCUUGAUCGAAGCCCCGGUAAACGGCGGCCGUAACUAUAACGGUCCUAAGGUAGCGAAAUUCCUUGUCGGGUAAGUUCCGACCUGCACGAAUGGCGUAAUGAUGGCCAGGCUGUCUCCACCCGAGACUCAGUGAAAUUGAACUCGCUGUGAAGAUGCAGUGUACCCGCGGCAAGACGGAAAGACCCCGUGAACCUUUACUAUAGCUUGACACUGAACAUUGAGCCUUGAUGUGUAGGAUAGGUGGGAGGCUUUGAAGUGUGGACGCCAGUCUGCAUGGAGCCGACCUUGAAAUACCACCCUUUAAUGUUUGAUGUUCUAACGUUGACCCGUAAUCCGGGUUGCGGACAGUGUCUGGUGGGUAGUUUGACUGGGGCGGUCUCCUCCUAAAGAGUAACGGAGGAGCACGAAGGUUGGCUAAUCCUGGUCGGACAUCAGGAGGUUAGUGCAAUGGCAUAAGCCAGCUUGACUGCGAGCGUGACGGCGCGAGCAGGUGCGAAAGCAGGUCAUAGUGAUCCGGUGGUUCUGAAUGGAAGGGCCAUCGCUCAACGGAUAAAAGGUACUCCGGGGAUAACAGGCUGAUACCGCCCAAGAGUUCAUAUCGACGGCGGUGUUUGGCACCUCGAUGUCGGCUCAUCACAUCCUGGGGCUGAAGUAGGUCCCAAGGGUAUGGCUGUUCGCCAUUUAAAGUGGUACGCGAGCUGGGUUUAGAACGUCGUGAGACAGUUCGGUCCCUAUCUGCCGUGGGCGCUGGAGAACUGAGGGGGGCUGCUCCUAGUACGAGAGGACCGGAGUGGACGCAUCACUGGUGUUCGGGUUGUCAUGCCAAUGGCACUGCCCGGUAGCUAAAUGCGGAAGAGAUAAGUGCUGAAAGCAUCUAAGCACGAAACUUGCC
This 2771-nucleotide ribosomal RNA is filed under the name Escherichia coli. Its description in RNAcentral is "partial 23S ribosomal RNA". It matches the Rfam family "Bacterial large subunit ribosomal RNA". Lineage: Bacteria; Pseudomonadati; Pseudomonadota; Gammaproteobacteria; Enterobacterales; Enterobacteriaceae. The record is from RNAcentral.